Zalophus californianus (California sea lion) is the source of this 519-nucleotide long non-coding RNA. RefSeq lists it as uncharacterized. The record is from RefSeq and is a predicted model, not a curated record. Lineage: Eukaryota; Metazoa; Chordata; Mammalia; Carnivora; Otariidae. The transcript has 4 exons.
CACUAACGGGACAGGCAGAUGAAGAGGAGCCAUGAGGAAGACUAAAGAGGAAUAAUACUAAUGAGGAGAAGCAAGGCAGUUCAGUGUCAUAGAAGCCAAAAAAAAAAAAAAUGGAGACGUCAAGAGGGACAUUAAGAUCAGAAAAGAGAACAAGAGAAGAUGGCUGGAUGGUUGCCGGACACCAGAGAUGAAGAAAUUGAACCUCUACCUCAAGAAAUGAGAGGAAUACUGAGAACAUCAGACCCAAAGAUUUGAUGUAUGGUUCAAAUUCAUGAUCUAUCUUCUCCAAGUGUUGGCUUUCUCCUCUCUGAUGAUGACCUACUAUGUACAUUCUGAAUGUCUAUGGAGUUAACUAACUUACUUCUCCAAGUAUUUGGCUCAGCCUGAGGAUCCCUUACUCUGCCUGGGGAGACAACUUUUCUGUCUGGCAACAUUCAUCCCUUCAGUCACGAUAUCGGAGUUCCUGAGCCCUGCCCCAUGUGCAUGAGGGCUGACCAGUGAGGAAGCAGUAGAGUGAAU